GCGCAGCAGUCGAGAAACCUUCGCAAUGCGGGAAACCGCGACGAGGGGACUCCCAGUGCCUACGCUCAGCGUAGGCUGUUCCCGAGCCUAGAAAGCUCGGGGAGUAAGGGCUGGGUAAGACGGGUGCCAGCCGCCGCGGUAAUACCCGCAGCCCGAGUGGUGGCCACUAUUAUUGGGCCCAAAGCGUCCGUAGCCGGCCCGGUAAAUGCCUGGGUAAAUCGUGAGGCCUAACCUCACGAAUUCCGGGUAGACUGCCGGGCUAGGGAUCGGAGGAGGGAGAGGGUACUCCAGGGGUAGGGGUGAAAUCCUGUAAUCCCUGGAGGACCACCGGUGGCGAAGGCGCUCUCCUAGGACGGGUCCGACGGUGAGGGACGAAAGCCAGGGGAGCGAACCGGAUUAGAUACCCCUGUAGU
Molecule: ribosomal RNA, 413 nt
Filed under: uncultured microorganism
Description: bacterial SSU rRNA
Rfam family: Archaeal small subunit ribosomal RNA
Source: RNAcentral